This 200-nucleotide unclassified non-coding RNA is filed under the name uncultured Lactarius. Its description in RNAcentral is "sequence contains ITS1". Lineage: Eukaryota; Fungi; Basidiomycota; Agaricomycetes; Russulales; Russulaceae. The record is from RNAcentral.
UCGUAACAAGAGGACGUCCUUGGUUGUCGCUGACCGCUAGGUCGUGCACGCCUCGAGCGUUUCUCACUUACACAUCCAUCUCACCCCUUUGUGCAUCACCGCGUGGGCCCCCCCUUUGAUUCAAAGAAAGGUGGCUUGCGUUUUCACACAAACGUCGUAGUAGUCGAAUGUCUUACUUUUGCGGUCGCACGCAAUCAAUA